RNAcentral lists this ribosomal RNA (492 nucleotides) under uncultured bacterium. Its description in RNAcentral is "partial 16S ribosomal RNA". It matches the Rfam family "Bacterial small subunit ribosomal RNA", at positions 29 to 507 of the family's 1533-position model. The record is from RNAcentral.
AGUGAACGCUGGCGGCAGGCCUAACACAUGCAGGUCGAACGGCAACACCGUAAGAGCUUGCUCUUCCUGGUUGCGAGUGGCGGACGGGAGAGGAAUAUAUCCGACUCUACUCUUUCGUGGGGGUUCACGUAGGGAAACUUACGCUCAUACAGCAUACGACCUACGGUUGUAAGCAGUGGAUCUUCGCACCUUGCGCGAUUGAAUGAGCGGCUGUCGGAUUAGCUGGUUGGCGGGUUAACGGCCCAGCCAGGCGGCGAUCCGGAGCUGGUCUGUGAGGAGGAGCAGCGACACUGGAAGUGAGCCACGGUCCAGAGUCCUAGGGGAGGCAGCAGUGGGGAAUAUUGGACGAUGGGCGCAAUCCUGAUCCAGCGAUACCGCGUGGGUGCAGAAGGGCUGCGGGUUGUAAAACCCUUUUGUUGGGAAAGAAAAGCAGCAGGUUAAUACCCCGCUGUUCUGACGGUACCCAAAGAGUAAGCACCGGCUAACUUCGUG